Molecule: small nuclear RNA, 163 nt
Filed under: Sorex araneus (European shrew)
Lineage: Eukaryota; Metazoa; Chordata; Mammalia; Eulipotyphla; Soricidae
Description: U1 spliceosomal RNA (ENSSARG00000016585.1)
Rfam family: U1 spliceosomal RNA
About the family: U1 is a small nuclear RNA (snRNA) component of the spliceosome (involved in pre-mRNA splicing). Its 5' end forms complementary base pairs with the 5' splice junction, thus defining the 5' donor site of an intron.
Source: RNAcentral
AUAUUUACCUGGCAGGAAAGAGGCCAUGAUCGGGCGGGUGGUUUUCCCAAGGCUGAAUUUGGUCUAUUGCACUUCAGAUGUGCCAAUCCCUGCGAGUUCCCCAAAUGUGGGAACUUAACUGCAGGCUUGUGUUGUAGGGGGGCUGUGUUUGCACUCUCUCUUG